UACGUAGGUGGCAAGCGUUGUUCGGAAUUAUUGGGCCUAAAGCAUCCGUAGCCGGUUCUGCAAGUCCCCCGUUAAAUCCAGCUGCUCAACAGAUGGGCCGCGGAGGAUACUACAGAGCUAGGAGGCAGGAGAGGCAAGCGGUACUCAGUGGGUAGGGGUAAAAUCCGUUGAUCCGUUGAAGACCACCAGUGGCGAAGGCGGCUUGCCAGAAUGCGCUCGACGGUGAGGGAUGAAAGCUGGGUGAGCAAACCGG
RNAcentral lists this ribosomal RNA (253 nucleotides) under uncultured bacterium. Its description in RNAcentral is "partial 16S ribosomal RNA". It matches the Rfam family "Bacterial small subunit ribosomal RNA", at positions 524 to 776 of the family's 1533-position model. The record is from RNAcentral.